UACGUAGGGUGCGAGCAUUGUCCGGAAUUAUUGGGCGUAAAGAGCUCGUAGGCGGCCUGUCACGUCGGAUGUGAAAGCCCGGGGCUUAACCCCGGGUCUGCAUUCGAUACGGGCAGGCUGGAGUUCGGUAGGGGAGAUCGGAAUUCCUGGUGUAGCGGUGAAAUGCGCAGAUAUCAGGAGGAACACCGGUGGCGAAGGCGGAUCUCUGGGCCGAUACUGACGCUGAGGAGCGAAAGCGUGGGGAGCGAACAGG
This 253-nucleotide ribosomal RNA is filed under the name uncultured bacterium. RNAcentral's name for it is "partial 16S ribosomal RNA". It matches the Rfam family "Bacterial small subunit ribosomal RNA", at positions 524 to 776 of the family's 1533-position model. The record is from RNAcentral.